Molecule: non-coding RNA, 88 nt
Organism: Arthromyces matolae
Lineage: Eukaryota; Fungi; Basidiomycota; Agaricomycetes; Agaricales; Lyophyllaceae
Source: the annotation of a GenBank genome assembly
CCGACCUUAACUCAGUUGGUUAGAGUGUGAGACUGUAAUGGCUAAACAUUUAAUCUCGAAGUCGCCUGUUCAACUCAGGCAGGUCGGA